RNAcentral lists this ribosomal RNA (100 nucleotides) under Cephalotus follicularis. The record is from RNAcentral. Lineage: Eukaryota; Viridiplantae; Streptophyta; Magnoliopsida; Oxalidales; Cephalotaceae.
GGGUGCGAUCAUACCAGUACUAAUGCACCGGAUCCCACCAGAACUCCGCAGUUAAGCGCUUGGGCGAGAAUAGUUCUAAGAUGGUCUUGUCUCAUGACUU